Sander lucioperca (pikeperch) is the source of this 362-nucleotide long non-coding RNA. RefSeq lists it as uncharacterized. Lineage: Eukaryota; Metazoa; Chordata; Actinopteri; Perciformes; Percidae. The record is from RefSeq and is a predicted model, not a curated record. The transcript is spliced from 4 exons.
UCAGUUUAAAAACUGGUUUACAGCAGGUUCCUGUUCUGCAGCAACAUAGAACAAUGAACACAAUUUCAGCACAUUUAUACAGGACAUUAUUAUUGACUAGACAGAUGCAAACAAAUAAAACAUUAAAUACGGAAAAACAAGACUAAAAACAAUACAUGAACAAUCAGUGUGUGCAAGUAUGACUAUCAAGAAGAAACAUGUUAUAUGACUUUUUGAAAUAUGUGAUGGAUGAUAAUGUUCAAAUGUGAUAGGGAAUGUCAUUCCAAAUUUUAGUGUAAAUAUAGAAAAAGGAUUUCUGACCGUAGUUGUUUUUGUAUGGGGGAACUGGAAUGAGUGCCUUGAGAUCCUUAUCUGACAUGAUC